This 461-nucleotide ribosomal RNA is filed under the name uncultured bacterium. RNAcentral's name for it is "partial 16S ribosomal RNA". It matches the Rfam family "Bacterial small subunit ribosomal RNA", at positions 28 to 506 of the family's 1533-position model. The record is from RNAcentral.
GAUAAACGCUGGCGGCGUGCUUAACACAUGCAAGUCGAACGAAGUUUUUCCUUCGGGAGACACUUAGUGGCGGACGGGUGAGUAACGCGUGGGUAACCUGCCCUGUACAGGGGGACAACAGCUGGAAACGGCUGCUAAUACCGCAUAAGCACUUAGCACUGCAUGGUGCAUAGGGAAAAGGAGCAAUCCGGUACAGGAUGGACCCGCGUCUGAUUAGCCAGUUGGCAGGGUAACGGCCUACCAAAGCGACGAUCAGUAGCCGAUCUGAGAGGAUGUACGGCCACAUUGGGACUGAGACACGGCCCAGACUCCUACGGGAGGCAGCAGUGGGGAAUAUUGCACAAUGGAGGAAACUCUGAUGCAGCGACGCCGCGUGAGUGAAGAAGUAUUUCGGUAUGUAAAGCUCUAUCAGCAGGGAAGAAAAUGACGGUACCUGACUAAGAAGCACCGGCUAAAUACGU